RNAcentral lists this transfer RNA (76 nucleotides) under Verrucomicrobiales bacterium. Its description in RNAcentral is "tRNA-Trp". It matches the Rfam family "tRNA". From Rfam's summary of the family: Transfer RNA (tRNA) molecules are approximately 80 nucleotides in length. Lineage: Bacteria; Pseudomonadati; Verrucomicrobiota; Verrucomicrobiia; Verrucomicrobiales. The record is from RNAcentral.
ACGCCAGUAGCUCAAUUGGUAGAGUAGCGGUCUCCAAAACCGUUGGUUGGGGGUUCGAUUCCCUCCUGGCGUGCCA